This 33477-nucleotide long non-coding RNA is filed under the name Triticum aestivum (bread wheat). Its description in RNAcentral is "long non-coding RNA (TAES_LNC001094)". Lineage: Eukaryota; Viridiplantae; Streptophyta; Magnoliopsida; Poales; Poaceae. The record is from RNAcentral.
UUUUUUUUUUUUUUGAGGUUUUUUUAGCUGAUUGCACUGAGAGGGCCAGUCCAAAUAUCAUGGGCCCACACACAAAGCCUUGAGAAACGACAAAAGAUGACGCCGUUAACUGCGCCGGCAGGACGACGAAGGUCACACGGUAAAAAAUCAUGCGGUUGCGGUUGCGGUUGCGAAUCGUUCAUAACGCCGACCAAAACGCAGCGGAUCCACACCCAAUGAUUUGCUGAGGUAACACGAUUUUCGCUCCUGUGUGAAGUGUGAUGCUCUGAACAUAGACCGUAUGCCAAUAUCACUGUAUGUCAUGUCGCGCCGAAGGUUCAGUCUUCAUGCUUUUGUGAAACUGAAUUUUGUAGUACUGUCGCGCCGAAGGUUCGGUCUUCAUGCUUUUGUGAAACUGAAUUUUGUAGUACUGUCGUGCCAAAGGUUCAGUCUACAAGACGGAUCAAUAACAAAUAGUUAGAGAUUGGAGUACAUGAUACAUCCGCAUCCGCAAAUCCGUCAUUUGUUUGACGCGCCCGGACGCGCCCGCGGACAUUAACCUUCACGUCUCAAAUUUUCCAUCUCAUAAUCGGACACCUCGAUUAACAUACUUCAAAUCCAUACAAACUCAUGCAACUAUGUAAACGACGCAUUACACAUAUCGUCCGGCUACUACAUCAAGACAUUGACAUCUGACUACCAAAAAAUGCAUGUUUAACCUACAUGCUAGCUAUGAAGAAGCUCAUCCACGGCUGCCCUUGCCCUUCCCGGCUUCCUUGCCGUCCUGCUCGCGGAAGUAGCGGUCAAAGACGCGGUAUUGAUCGAGCCAGAUCUGCUCAUCGCCGGAGCUACUCAACCUGCCGUUGUCCUCCUUCUUCUGGGGGGCAGUCCGGCCAUGGCACGAAUCACCCAAUUCCGCUCUCAGACAAGGGCACGCGCGUUCCUCCGUUGCCGCUUUUUUAGAAUGUGUGCGCGGAUGGCUUCCUCCUCUACGGCAGCUCGCGCCGCCGCAUCAGUCGCCGCCACAUCAGCCGCCUCCGCUGCCACCAUCUCGGCAACUAGUCCGGCCUCGGCGACCCUCAUCCUAUCCUUCCCAUGGCAGGCACACCGGUCCUAGUAGGACUCAUACUCCGGCGGACCGGUGAUGGGGAAAGGGAUAUUGGAAGGCUCCCGAGAGGACCGCGAUGAUCCAGCUUCAGAGGAUCUGAGCGCCCGAUGCGUCGAUGCAAUGGACUUGCGCUGGACAGAUCCCGCCUCGGUCGGUUGAUGUCCUCCUAGGAGCACUGGAGUGCAAUGCAGACACAAUUGCCUCCUCCAGACCACAAAGACGACCCCCCACCCCCCACCCCCCAGUCGACGAUCCGUAUUGGUCGUCAGGAUCCACUCCCCACCAUGCAGGAAAGGCCGGAGAUCAUCGGAAGGGAGCUUGGGUGGCGGAGGGGAGUGGAGUGAAGUGGCUAGGGUUUCAUCCGGGGAGCGGAUCAAAAGGAACAGGGUGGGCCAGCGUGGGGCGGGUCCGAUAUGGUGGACGCGCUCUGGUCUCCCCGUAUCCGUCUCAUAUUUGGGCUAAAUAUGAGGGUUGUCGAUCAGCCCGAGCGUUUGAGGCGCGCGGUUGAAUGUGGUUUUUUUUUACUGGUUACUGAAUGGGCCGUCCGCCCGGGCGUAUGUGAGGGGUUUGAGGCACGGACUGUAGAUGUUCUGACUCCCUGCAAAUGAAGUAAAGCAUCAACAUAUAUACCGCCCCUCUUUUAGGCAUAGUUUCUUCUUCAUCGUUUUCUUUUCUUUUAGGAGUAAGACACGCAUUACAUUUGCAUUGUCACACCUUCCUUACAAGCAAUAUUCCAUAAUUGGCUAGGCACAUUUUCGAGUGUGAUAUGAUUUCCAAACAUUCUUGGAUGUGCUACUAGUGUGUCUCACUGGACUACCAGUUUUAAAAAGGUCACCAAAAGCUAUAACUUUUCUUCUAAUUUUGUUCAAAGAAAACUACCGAAAACAAUUGAUGACCGCUUUAGACGAUGUAAACACGCUUAUGACAAGCAGGACCCACCCAUCAGGGCUGACGUGGCAAGAAAGUCAAUGCUCGUUUAUUUUGACCGCUAAAUUGAUCGUUAUUAUAGGUAGGUCUCACACGUCAGCAUCAACCUUCUUCCUUCUCCCCUCUAUAUCUAUUUGGCAUUUCAACAAACACCUCAUGUGCAUCAAUGAGCACCACUGCAUCGCCACCGGUGAUGAGCUCUCCGUCCACCAAGAACACCAAGGAGUUGGGCCUGUUGGCCAUGGCUGACCAUGAGCUGCUCCGAGAGCUCAUCCAGAAAGUCAUGAACAAGAAGGUCCACCUCGUCUUCCCGCCCAACAAGAACGAGCACUUCGGUGCCAGCGCGAGCAUCGAGAAGGAGGACCCUCGCUUGUUGAUGCCGCCGCAGUCCAGGGGCUUCUCACUGACCUAUAGAGGUCGGCGUCGUCGUCAGCACGGCGACCAUGGAGCGACCGACCACCACCAUCAGUAGUAGGGUCUUGGCUGGAACAGGAGCGUCGCGGCCACGUUAGUGGGGAACCAGUGGCAGCUGGGUUUUGGCUGGAGCUGGAACAGCGGCAGCCUCACCGGGGGUUGGAGGGACGGGUUCUUGUUGGAUCCUGGUUGUCGUCACCUCACUGGCCGAAUCGAGCGACAGUGCGGUGUCAGGAGGAGAGGCAUGUUGGGGAACGUAGCAGAAAUUCAAAAUUUUCCUACGUGUCACCAAGAUCUAUCUAUGGAGAGACCAGCAACGAGGGGAAGGAGAGUGCAUCUACAUACCCUUGUAGAUCGCUAAGCGGAAGCGUUCAUGAGAACGGGGUUGAAGGAGUCGUACUCGUCGUGAUCCAAAUCACCGGAGAUCCUAGUGCCGAACGGACGGCACCUCCGCGUUCAACACACGUACAGCCCGGUGACGUCUCCCACGCCUUGAUCCAGCAAGGAGAGAGGGAGAGGUUGAGGAAGACUCCGUCCAGCAGCAGCACAACGGCGUGGUGGUGGUGGAGGAGCGUGGCAAUNNNNNNNNNNNNNNNNNNNNNNNNNNNNNNNNNNNNNNNNNNNNNNNNNNNNNNNNNNNNNNNNNNNNNNNNNNNNNNNNNNNNNNNNNNNNNNNNNNNNNNNNNNNNNNNNNNNNNNNNNNNNNNNNNNNNNNNNNNNNNNNNNNNNNNNNNNNNNNNNNNNNNNNNNNNNNNNNNNNNNNNNNNNNNNNNNNNNNNNNNNNNNNNNNNNNNNNNNNNNNNNNNNNNNNNNNNNNNNNNNNNNNNNNNNNNNNNNNNNNNNNNNNNNNNNNNNNNNNNNNNNNNNNNNNNNNNNNNNNNNNNNNNNNNNNNNNNNNNNNNNNNNNNNNNNNNNNNNNNNNNNNNNNNNNNNNNNNNNNNNNNNNNNNNNNNNNNNNNNNNNNNNNNNNNNNNNNNNNNNNNNNNNNNNNNNNNNNNNNNNNNNNNNNNNNNNNNNNNNNNNNNNNNNNNNNNNNNNNNNNNNNNNNNNNNNNNNAGAGGAGGAGGAGGAAGAAGAGAUGCAGGGCUGCACCAACGAGAGGGAGAAGUUCUCAUCUAUUGGGUUGCUCCAAAAAAACCUCCAAUAUAUAUAGGGGAAGGGGAGGGCUGCGCCCCCUCUAGGGUUUCCACCCCCUAGGGGUGGCGGCCAGCCCUAGAUGGGUUUUGGGGGGGGGGGGGCGGCCAAGAGGGGAGAGAGGGGAGGCGCCCACUAGGUGGGCCUUAAGGCCCAUCUGGACUAGGGUUUGCCCCCUCCCACUCCUCCUUGCGCCUUGGGCCCCUUGUGGGGGGGCGCACCAGCCCACCUAGGGGCUGGUCCCCUCCCACACUUGGCCCACGCAGCCUUCUGGGGCAGGUGGCCCCACUUGGUGGACCCCCGGGACCCUCCCGGUGGUCCCGGUACAUUACCGAUAUCGCCCGAAACUUUUCCGGUGACCAAAACAGGACUUCUCAUAUAUAAAUCUUUACCUCUGGACCAUUCCGGAACUCCUCGUGACGUCCGGGAUCUCAUCCGGGACUCCGAACAACAUUCAGUAACCACAUACAAGCUUCCUUUAUAACCCUAGCGUCACCGAACCUUAAGUGUGUAGACCCUACGGGUUCGGGAGACAUGCAGACAUGACCGAGACGUUCUCCGGUCAAUAACCAACAGCGGGAUCUGGAUACCCAUGUUGGCUCCCACAUGUUCCACGAUGAUCUCAUCGGAUGAACCACGAUGUCAAGGACUCAAUCGAUCCCGUAUACAAUUCCCUUUGUCUAGCGGUAUUGUACUUGCCCGAGAUUCGAUCGUCGGUAUACCGAUACCUUGUUCAAUCUCGUUACCGGCAAGUCUCUUUACUCGUUCCAUAACACAUCAUCCCGUGAUCAACUCCUUGAUCACAUUGUGCACAUUAUGAUGAUGUCCUACCGAGUGGGCCCGGAGAUACCUCUCCAUUUACACGGAGUGACAAAUCCCAGUCUCGAUUCGUGCCAACCCAACAGACACUUUCGGAGAUACCUGUAAUGCACCUUUAUAGCCACCCAGUUACGUUGUGACAUUUGGUACACCCAAAGCAUUCCUACGGUAUCCGGGAGUUGCACAAUCUCAUGGUCUAAGGAAAAGAUACUUGACAUUAGAAAAGCUUUAGCAUACGAACUACACGAUCUGUGCUAGGCUUAGGAUUGGGUCUUGUCCAUCACAUCAUUCUCCUAAUGAUGUGAUCCCGUUAUCAAUGACAUCCAAUGUCCAUGGUCAGGAAACCGUAACCAUCUAUUGAUCAACGAACUAGUCAACUAGAGGCUUACUAGGGACAUGGUGUUGUCUAUGUACCCACACAUGUAUCUGAGUUUCCUAUCAAUACAAUUAUAGCAUGGAUAAUAAACGAUUAUCAUGAACAAGGAAAUAUAAUAAUAACUAAUUUAGUAUUGCCUCUAGGGCAUAUUUCCAACAGUCUCCCACUUGCACUAGAGUCAAUAAUCUAGUUCACAUCGUCAUGUGAUUAACGCUGAUAGGUCACAUCGCCAUGUGACCAACAUCCAAAGAGUUUACUAGUGUCUGUAAACUAGUUCACAUCAUCAUGUGAUUAAGACUCAAUGAGUUCUCAGGUUUGAUCAUGUUUUGCUUGUGAGAGAGGUUUUUAGUCAUCGGGUCUGAACCUUUCAGAUCCGUGUGUGCUUUGCAAAUUUCUAGGUCAUAUUGUAAACGCUGCUUCCACGCUCCACUUGGAUCUAUUCCAAAUGGUUGCUCCACUAUACGUAUCCGGUUUGCUACUCAGAGUCACUCGGAUAGGUGUUAAAGCCUGCAUUGGCGUAACCCUUUACGCCGAACUCUUUAUCACCUCCAUAAUCGAGAAACAUGUCCUUAUUUACUCCAAGGAAAAUUUUGACCGCUGUCCAAUGAUCCAUUCCUGGAUCAUUCUUGUACCCCUUGACUGACUCAUGGCAAGGCACACUUCCGGUGCGGUACACAGCAUAGCAUACUAUAGAGCCUAUGUCUGAAGCAUAGGGGACGACCUUCAUCCUUUCUCUCUCUUCUGCCGUGGUCGAGCUUUAACUCUUAACUUAAUACCUUACAACUCAGGCAAGAACUCCUUCUUUGACUGAUCCAUCUUGAACACCUUCAAGAUCAUGUCAAGGUAUGUGCUCAUUUGAAAGUAUUAUUAAGCAUUUUGAUCUAUCCUUAUAGAUCUCGAUGCUCAAUGUUCAAGUAGCUUAAUCCAGGUUUUCUAUUGAAAAACAUCUUUCAAAUAACCCUAUAUGCUUUCCAGAAAUUCUACAUCAUUUCUGAUCAUCAAUAUGUCAACAACAUACACUCAUCAGAAAUUCUAUAGUGCUCCCACUCACUUCUUUGGAAAUACAAGUUUCUCAUAAACUUUAUAUAAACCCAAAAUCUUUGAUCAUCUCAUCAAAGCGUACAUUCCAACUCCGAGAUGCUUACUCCAGUCCUUAGAAGGAUCGCUGGAGCCAACAUACCUUUUAGCAUCCUUAGGAUCGACAAAACUUUCUGAUUGUAUCACAUACAACCUUUCCUUACGAAGACUGGUAAGGAAACUCGUUUUGACAUCCAUCUGCCAGAUUUCAUAAAUGCAGCUAAUGCUAACAUGAUUCCGACGGACUUAAGCAUCGCUAUGAAUGAGAGAAUCUCAUCGUAGUCAACUCCUUGAUCUUGUGAAAAACUCUUUGCCACAAGUCGAGCUUCAUAGACGGCGAUAUUACCGUCCACGUCCGUCUUCUUCUUAAAGAUCCAUUUAUCUCAAUGGCUUGCCGAUCAUCGGGCAAGUCCAUCAAAGUCCAUGCUUUGUUCUUAUAUAUGGAUACUAUCUCGGAUUUCAUGGCUUCUAACCAUUUGUCGGAAUCCGGGCCCACCAUCGCUUCUCCAUAGCUCGUAGGUUCAUUGUUGUCUAGCAACAUGACCUUCAAGACAUGAUUACUGUACCACUCUGAAGUAGUACGCAUCCUUGUCAUCCCACGAGGUUCGGUAGUGACUUGAUCCGAAACUUCAUGAUCACUAUCAUAAGCUUCUACUUCAAUUGGUGUAGGCGCCAUAGGAACAACUUCCUGUGCCCUGCUACACACUAGUUGAAGUGAUGGUUCAAUAACCUCAUCAAGUCUCCACCAUCCUCCCACUCAAUUCUUUCGAGAGAAACUUUUCCUCGAGAAAGGACCCGUUUCUAGAAACAAUCCCUAUUGCUUUCGGAUCUGAAUUAGGAGGUAUACCCAACCAUUUUGGGUGUCCUAUGAAGAUGCAUUUUAUCCGCUUUGGGUUCGAGCUUAUCAACCUGAAAGUUUUUCACAUAAGCGUCGCAGCCCCAAACCUUUAAGAAACGACAACUUAGGUUUCUCCAAACCAUAGUUCAAACGGUGUCGUCUCAACGGAAUUACGUGGUGCCCUAUUAAAGUGAGUGUGGUUGUCUCUAAUGCCUAACCCAUGAACGAUAGUGGUAAUUCGAUAAGAGACAUCAUGGUACGCACCAUAUCCAAUAGGGUGCAACUAUGAUGUUCGGACACACCAUCACACUAUGGUGUUCCAGGCGGUAUUAAUUGUAAAACAAUUUCCACAGUGUCUUAAUUGCGUGCCAAAGCUCGUAACUCAGAUACUCAUCUCUAUGAUCAUAUCAUAGACAUUUUAUCCUCUUGUCACAAUGAUCUUUAACUUCACUCUGAAAUUACUUGAACCAUUUAAUAAUUCAGACUUGUGUUUCAUCAAGUAAAUAUACUCAACAUCUACUCAAAUCAUCUGUGAAGUCAGAACAUAACGAUAUUCACUGCAUGCCUCAGCACUCAUUGGACUGCACACAUCAAAAUGUGUUACUUCCAACAGGUUGCUACCUUGUUCCAUCUUACUGAAACUGAGGCUUUUCAAUCAUCUUGCCCACGUGGUAUGAUUUUCAUAUCUCAAGUGAUUCAAAAUCAAGUGAGUCCAAACGAUCCAUCUGUAUGGAGUUUCUUCAUGCGUAUGCACCAAUGGACAUGGUUUGCAUGUCUCAAACUUUUCAAAAACGAGUGAGUCCAAAGAUCCAUCAACAUGGAGCUUCUUCAUGCGUUUUAUACCAAUAUGACUUACAUGGCAGUGCCACAAGUACGUGGUACUAUCAUUACUAUCUUAUAUCUUUUGGCAUGAAAAUGUGUAUCACUACGAUCGAGAUUCAAUAAACCAUUCUUUUAGGUGCAAGACCAUCGAAGGUAUUAUUCAAAUAAAUAGAGUAACCAUUAUUCUCCUUAAAUGAAUAACCGUAUUGCGAUAGACAUAAUCCAAUCAUGUCUAUGCUCAACGCAAACACCAAAUGAUAAUUAUUCUGGUUUAAUACUAAUCUUGAUGGUAGAGGGAGCGUGCGAUGUUUGAUCACAUCAAAACUGGAAACACUUCCAACAUAUAUCGUCAGCUCUCCUUUAGCUAGUCUCCGUUUAUUCCGUAGCCUUUUAUUUCAAGUUACUAACACUUAGCAACCGAACCGGUAUCUAAUACCCUGGUGCUACUAGGAGUACUAGUAAAAUACACAAUAACUUAAUGUAUAUCCAAUAUACUUCUAUCGACCUUGCCAGCCUUCUUAUCUACCAAGUAUCUAGGGUAAUUCUGCUCCAGUGGCUGUUCCCCUUAUUGCAGAAGCACUUAGUCUCGGGUUUGGGUUCAACCUUGGGUUUCUUCACUGGAGCAGCAACUGAUUUUCCGUUUCAUGAAGUGUCCCUUCUUGCCCUUGCCCUUCUUGAAACUAGUGGUUUCACCAACCAUCAACAAUUGAUGCUCCUUCUUGAUUUUUACUUUCGCGAUGUCAAAUAACGCGAAUACCUCAAGGAUCAUCAUCUCUAUCCUUGAUAUGUUAUAGUUCAUCACCAAGCUGUAGCAGCUUGGUGGCAAUGACUUUGGAGAAACAUCACUAUCUCAUCUGGAAGAUCAACUCCCACUCGAUUCAAGUGAUUGUUGUACUCAGACAAUCUGAGCACAAGCUCAACGAUUGAGCUUUUCUCCCUUAGUUUGCAGGCUAAGAAAAUCGUCGGAGGUCUCAUACCUCUUGACGUGGGCACGAGCCUGAAAUCCCAAUUUCAGCCCUUGAAACAUCUCAUAUGUUCCGCGAUGUUUCGAAAACGUCUUUAGUGCCUCAACUCUAAACCGUUUAACUGAACUAUCACGUAGUUAUCAAAACGUGUAUGUCCGAUGUUCGCAACAUCCACAAACGACGUUUGGGGUUCAGCACACUGAGCAGUGCAUUAAGGACAUGAGCUUUCUACUGUCCGCAUAAUCGCUACUUUUAACUUUCAACUAUAUUUACUCUAGGAACAUAUCUAAACAGUGGAACUAAAGCGCGAGCUUACGACAUAAUUUGUAAAGAUCUUUUGACUAUGUUCAGGAUAAUUAAGUUCAUCUCAUGAACUCCCACUCAGAUAGACAUCCCUCCAGUCAUCUAAGUGAUUACAUGAUCCGAGUCAACUAGGCCGUGUCCGAUCAUCACGUGAGACGGAGUAGUCAUCAUCGGUGAACAUCUUCAUGUUGAUCGUAUCUACUAUACGACUCAUGCUCGACCUUUCGGUCUCUUGUGUUCCGAGGCCAUGUAUGUACAUGCUAGGCUCGUCAAGUCAACCUAAGUGUUUCGCGUGUGUAAAUCUGUCUUACACCCGUUGUAUGUGAACGUAAGAAUCCAUCACACCCGAUCAUCAUGUGGUGCUUAGAAACGACGAACUUUCGCAACGGUGCACAGUUAGGGGGAACACUUUCUUGAAAUUUUAAUGAGGGAUCAUCUUAUUUACUACCGUCGUUCUAAGCAAAUAAGAUGCAUAAACAUGAUAAACAUCACAUGCAAUCAAAUAGUGACAUGAUAUGGCCAAUAUCAUUUUGCUCCUUUUGAUCUCCAUCUUCGGGGCUCCAUGAUCAUCAUCGUCACCGGCAUGACACCAUGAUCUCCAUCAUCAUGUCUUCAUGAAGUUGUCUCGCCAACUAUUACUUCUACUACUAUGGCUACCGGUUAGCAAUAAAGUAAAGUAAUUACAUGGCGUUGUUUAAUGACACACAGGUCAUACAAUAAAUAAAGACAACUCCUAUGGCUCCUGCCGGUUGUCAUACUCAUCGACAUGCAAGUCGUGAAUCCUAUUACAAGAACAUGAUCAAUCUCAUACAUCACAUAUCAUUCAUCACAUUCUUCUUGGCCAUAUCACAUCACAUAGCAUACCCUGCAAAAACAAGUUAGACGUCCUCUAAUUGUUGUUUGCAUGUUUUACGUGGCUGCUAUGGGUUUCUAGCAAGAACGUUUCUUACCUACGCAAAACCACAACGUGAUAUGUCAAUUGCUAUUUACCCUUCAUAAGGACCCUUUUCAUCGAAUCCGAUCCGACUAAAGUGGGAGAGACUGGCACCCGCUAGCCACCUUAUGCAACAAGUGCAUGUCAGUUGGUGGAACCUGUCUCACGUAAGUGUACGGGUAAGGUCGGUCCGGGCCGCUUCAUCCCACAAUGCCGCCGAAUCAAGAUUGGACUAGUAACGGUAAGCAUAUUGAACAAAAUCAAUGCCCACAACUACUUUGUGUUCUACUCGUGCAACGAAUCUACGCAAUAGACCUAGCUCAUGAUGCCACUGUUGGGGAACGUAGCAGAAAUUCAAAAUUUUCCUACGUGUCACCAAGAUCUAUCUAUGGAGAGACCAGCAACGAGGGGAAGGAGAGUGCAUCUACAUACCCUUGUAGAUCGCUAAGCGGAAGCGUUCAUGAGAACGGGGUUGAAGGAGUCGUACUCGUCGUGAUCCAAAUCACCGGAGAUCCUAGUGCCGAACGGACGACACCUCCGCGUUCAACACACGUACAGCCCGAUGACGUCUCCCACGCCUUGAUCCAGCAAGGAGAGAGGGAGAGGUUGAGGAAGACUCCGUCCAGCAGCAGCACAACGGCGUGGUGGUGGUGGAGGAGCGUGGCUAUCCUGCAGGGCUUCGCCAAGCACCACAGGAGAGGAGGAGGAGGAAGAAGAGAUGCAGGGCUGCACCAACGAGAGGGAGAAGUUCUCAUCUACUGGGCUGCUCCAAAAAAACCUCCAAUAUAUAUAGGGGAAGGGGAGGGCUGCGCCCCCUCUAGGGUUUCCACCCCCUAGGGGUGGCGGCCAGCCCUAGAUGGGUUUUGGGGGGGCGGCCAAGAGGGGAGAGAGGGGAGGCGCCCACUAGGUGGGCCUUAAGGCCCAUCUGGACUAGGGUUUGCCCCUCCCACUCCUCCUUGCGCCUUGGGCCCCUUGUGGGGGGGCGCACCAGCCCACCUAGGGGCUGGUCCCCUCCCACACUUGGCCCACGCAGCCUUCUGGGGCAGGUGGCCCCACUUGGUGGACCCCCGGGACCCUCCCGGUGGUCCCCGUACAUUACCGAUAUCGCCCGAAACUUUUCCGGUGACCAAAACAGGACUUCCCAUAUAUAAAUCUUUACCUCCGGACCAUUCCGGAACUCCUCGUGACGUCCGGGAUCUCAUCCGGGACUCCGAACAACAUUCGGUAACCACAUACAAGCUUCCUUUAUAACCCUAGCGUCACCGAACCUUAAGUGUGUAGACCCUACGGGUUCGGGAGACAUGCAGACAUGACCGAGAUAACUCUCCGGUCAAUAACCAACAGCGGGAUCUGGAUACCCAUGUUGGCUCCCACAUGUUCCACGAUGAUCUCAUUGGAUGAACCAUGAUGUCAAGGACUCAAUCGAUCACGUAUACAAUUCCCUUUGUCUAGCGGUAUUGUACUUGCCCGAGAUUCGAUCGUCGGUAUACCGAUACCUUGUUCAAUCUCGUUACCGGCAAGUCUCUUUACUCGUUCCAUAACACAUCAUCCCGUGAUCAACUCCUAGAUCACAUUGUGCACAUUAUGAUGAUGUCCUACCGAGUGGGCCCAGAGAUACCUCUCCGUUUACACGGAGUGACAAAUCCCAGUCUCGAUUCGUGCCAACCCAACAGACACUUUCGGAGAUACCUGUAAUGCACCUUUAUAGCCACCCAGUUACGUUGUGACGUUUGGUACACCCAAAGCAUUCCUACGGUAUCCGGGAGUUGCACAAUCUCAUGGUCUAAGGAAAAGAUACUUGACAUUAGAAAAGCUUUAGCAUACGAACUACACGAUCUGUGCUAGGCUUAGGAUUGGGUCUUGUCCAUCACAUCAUUCUCCUAAUGAUGUGAUCCCGUUAUCAAUGACAUCCAAUGUCCAUGGUCAGGAAACCGUAACCAUCUAUUGAUCAACGAGCUAGUCAACUAGAGGCUUACUAGGGACAUGGUGUUGUCUAUGUACCCACACAUGUAUCUGAGUUUCCUAUCAAUACAAUUAUAGCAUGGAUAAUAAACGAUUAUCAUGAACAAGGAAAUAUAAUAAUAACUAAUUUAUUAUUGCCUCUAGGGCAUAUUUCUAACAAGGCAGAGAUGUAGAGGGGCGGCAGUUGACUUCGUCAGAUUGAUUUUUUAACUGAAAUCCACUGCCUGCCAUGCUAGAGAAGGCCGAAGAUCGCUGGACAAAGCUUGGGUGGCGGAUGGGAGUGGAUUGAAGUGGCUAGGGUUUGGUCUGGGGAGCGAAUGAAGAGGAAUAUAUGUGGGGUCCGCUGGGCCAGUGUGUGCUGGGUCCAACAUGGCGGACACGUCCGAACGCGCCCAGGCGCCCCAUAUCCAUCCCAAAUUUAGGCUGGAUAUGAGGGGUGCCGGUCAGUCUGGACAUUUGAGACCCGUUUGAGGCACAUGUCUGAGUCGGUUUUUUUAUGACCGGCCACAGACCGAGUCGUAUGAAGCGGGUUUGGAGCGCCCGGCUAUAGAUGCUCUAAUAGCUUUGAUAUGCUAAGCCCUUUGUCUUUUACCAACGUUGCACAGACGGUCUCAACCAUCACCCGACCCGUUCGACAUUCUUUUAGGCAUAGUUUUUCGUGCAGGGAAGGGGUAGUGCAUAUGGAAUUAUAUAGACUUUAAAUUGUAUUUUUGAGAAUAAAUUGUAAAAAUAAAUCAUCAUAUUUUGGAGACCCUAAUUCAGAAAACCUCCACCUUCUGUUCUUUUUCAAAAAUCACCACCAUUAUACUAAGAGUUGUUUUCAGAAAACUCUUUUUUUUCUAGGGUACCCCAAUGGCAUACCAUAUUUUUAUAGAAGAGAGUAUAAUUACAAGAAGUCAAGCCGGGAUGUGUGCAUCCCGAAUGACAUUACCCCACACCAACACCAACUAAACUAAAAAGGUCACUCUCACAGAAAGAUCUAAACCUCCAACACCCAAGCCAGCAAGCCUCCAAUCUCUGACCUCCGAAAGCACCUGCUCCGCAACUAGUGGUGGGGAUCUCUGAUCGUGCACUUUGUUGAACACCCUUGCAUUCCUUUGCUUCCACAAUGACCAAGCUGUCCCGGUCACAAGAGAAUCAAAACAACGUCGGGUUCUACCCGAGAAGCUUCUUCUUGAAGCAAGCCACCAGUUUGUGAACGUGUCCGUCGGGGCGAGAGGCUGGAUGUUAAUCCGAAGGGCCUCGAAGCAAUGGUGCCAAACCUCUCUCGUGUAGGUGCAUUGGGUGAGGGUGUGUUCAACGCUAUCUUCAUCCUGCAAACAAGUAUAGCAAUGCGAGUGUUCAUCUUGCAGCUCAUACCUCACACACCUGUCUGAGGUCCACCGUCUGUAUUAAGCACUGAGCCAAGCAAAGAUUUUGCAUCUCAGAGGCGCCCAGCUCCUUCAAAUGCACCUAUACGUCGGUGAUCUGGUCAAACCCAAGCAAAGCCAUGAAUAGAUUGAUUUCGCCGUGUAGCUCCCGGUCACAUCCGCUGGCCAUAGAAACUGAUCAUGUUGAUGUGCGUUUCUUUCCACCGUCGCGAGCGCCUGACAAAGGUUGCCCACUUGUAUGUGUGCCACAAAGGAGAUGUUCCCCAGACCCCAACACAUCCUGAGACCACGCGUUGUCGAUGAGGGCUUGCUGGACUGUCCUGGUGUUGCGUGCACACGUGUUGACGAGCUCCAUGAUGGUCGGAGCGAUCUCGCCCAAAGUGAAGCCGUGGAUCCAUCUAUCUUUCCAGAAGAACACCCUCUUUCCGGUGCCAACCUUGAUCUUGACCAUGCUAUUGAAUACCAUCUUAGCCUCUUUAUCCUCCAUCAUAGGGAUUCCUUGCCAUGGCCUGUUUGGGUCUGCCCUCCGAAGCCAUUCCCAUCUGACGUGGAGAGCCAUGCUUGGAGCCAGAGGUUCGGCAUCCCAAGGCCUCCGAAACAAGUAGGGCGGGCAACCGUAUCCCACGCGACCAAGCACUGACCACCAUUGGUCUUUUCCUUCCUUGCCAAAAGAAUGAGCAGACCCACUUCUCAAUCUCUUCAAAGACCCAAACCGGUGUAUUGAGAACCAUGAGUUGGUGAAUUGGUCUAGUCGUAAUCACCGAUUUAGCAAGGAUCAAUCUGCCCGACCUCUAAAUAAGACCUCUUUGCCAAGCGGGGAUGGGUUUCCUCGCAUGGUCCACCAAGGGUUGCCAAUCCAUUCGACCGAGCUUUUUGAUGGUUAAUAGGAUACCAAGAUAGCGACAAGGAAACGCUGCAGUCAGGCACUACAAGAUAUUCAAGACCCUAUGUCUCUCUUCAUCCGAGCCACCAAUGGGUAUUGCUGCCGAUUUUGCAUGAUUGAUCCUCAACCCUGAAGCCACUCCAAACACAUGUAGCACCUCUCUGACACAUAGUAGAUCUUGCUCUGAAGGCUUGAUGAACAUGAUAAGGUCGUCUGCGUAGAUGGACAGUCGUUGCAUCAAAGAUGCCGCGGAAUGAGCUUAGAACGCCUUCCUCUUCCACUGGAAAUCAGAGUCGUAAGAGAGAACGGAUCCCCUACCUAAGACUAUCCACAAUGGGAGUAACAUAGGUAGUAACAUCACACAUAUCUAGGCUAAAUAGAUGAUGUGGCAUGCAAUAAAUGAAGAAAAAGAUAAAAGUGGUAACAUAGCUAGUUACUACUAGUAUGAGUAACAUCACACAUGUCAAGACAAGAUGUGUCUAUAGCCUAAUAAAUGAAGUGCUCCAUGUUACCACACAUAUGUUAUUCCCCACUAUAGAGGUAGUAACAUAGACUAGUAACAUGCUCAUGUUACUAGUCUAUGUUACUACCCAUUGCGGCUAGUCUAAGGCUAGUCAUAGUGGGAGUAACUUAGCAAGUAACAUAGCGCACUCCGAGAAAUUUUUGCUUAUGUGGCAUGUAGUUAAUGAGAAAUGGUAACAUAAUAUGUUACUGUAACAUAGCGUUUUCCAAGACAAGAUGAGUCUACGAGCUAAUUAAUGAAAUCCUUUAUGACACUACUACUAUGUUACUUUGCACUAUGAAGGUAGUAAUUUAGACUAGUGUCAUAUGCAUGUCACUAGUAUAAGUUACUCCCCACUAUGACCAGCCUAAGCCCUUUUGCGUGGAAGAUUGGCCGCCCAGGCACUCCAUUAAUAAUAACUUUGGUACCAGCCGUUCAAGGAUGAAAGCAAUCCAUUUUAGCCACCGGUUCCGAUUCCUCUUGCCGUCAACACUUCGAACAGAAAAGACGCGUGUUAACACCAUAUAUCUGACAGAUGGGGCCUGCUGUAAGUGCUGAUGGGGCAAAACAACUUGACCUGACCUAUAAUAACAAAAAAAAAAGAAGCAGGGGGGCCACCGGCCCACCGUAUGCGUCUCACACAGCCGGGGUCUCCGUGGACGACGCCAAUGCUGCCGCCACACAGCUCUGGUUCGUCGUUUCUGCACUCCGGCUACUUCUUCGUCGCCGUGAAUCUAUCGAGGACAGGUUCGAGGGCCGGAUCCCCUUCCCGCGCACGGAGCGCGUUGUGGCGCCAGACCCGGCGGCGAUGCACACCGCGCGGCGCGUCCGGUUUGCCGCCCGACGACGGAUCCAAGCGCCGCUGGGCCCCCGCGCAGCCCCGACGACGGAUCCGAGAGCGACGCGGCCUCCCACUGUGCUAGCCGCCCUCCACUUCGCCACCCGCCACCCCGCCGGAUCAGCUCCUCCACUCCGCCAGCGUCGUCGGGCAGCUCCUGGUUAUGAGGAGAUCCAACCCGGUGUCACUCGUUUGUGAGAUCGAUGAAGCAGGAAAGAAUCACAUGUGAGAUCGAUGUCGUUCUUGCUUUCACAUUAUUUCCUCUACUAACCUACCCACCCCGUCCCAAAAUAAGUGUUGCCAUAGCAUUCUCUAGGGAACUAGAGUACAUCUUUCUGAAGAAUCGUUCUACACGAGGCCUUUCAUGCAAAUCUAUACACUCACUUUCCUUUGGGGUUCGUAAGAAAAACACCGACCUAGUACAGCUUCAGAAAGGAAUCGGCAAGUUCCUGGAGGACAGUCAGUUCUAACACUGACCAUAGAAAGGAUGCAUUUCAAAGUUUGAAUCACAUGCUACCACAUUGUGACGACCAUUCACUAUUCGAUUAGGCCAGUAAGUACUGUAAUUUCUACUCACUUCAUUCACUGUUACUCAAUUUCAAAUAUUUGGAGGCCAUGCAAGUUCAGAGUUCCCUCCACAUUUUCUCAUCCGGGCUUGGGACCCGCAAAGGCAGUGUUAAACUACAAAACUACAGAACACAAAAAUUAGCAAACACUACAACCAAUUAUUUCAGCUAUGCAUAGGCAAUAAAUAUCUGCACAAGAUCAUAAGACAGACAUAGGGGCACAAACAAACAAAGCUGUAAAUUACAGGACCUGAAUGAGAGUAAUUAAUUUAUAUAGUGGUAGUGGGUGAUCCAAACCUUUAAUCUUGACAAUAAGAAUAUAUACCAACAUCUAGAGGAUGAUUAUCUUUCGCAGUUUUAUCCCAUUAUAGGGUCAGAGGAGAUACUUUUGUAUCUUAAAAAUCCAGGAUAAUGUAUUGACUAUGAAAUAUAAUGUGUGGCAUAUGUAUAGCUGGAGUUAAGAGUAUGCAAUUCACAGGAAUCGUCAAAUUAGUAUUUUUGCUAGUUGCCAAGCAAAUUGAAAUUAGGGAGUUCCCAGAAAACCGAGAUUAUGUAAUUAAAGAUUUGAGAAUAUGUAGUUGAAGAUCCCAUAAACCAGAUCAAAUUAGCCAUUAGAAGACGGUAAGAUGUGUGAACGCUUUUUCUCUUUAAUCCAGGAAUAUGAGCUACUUGAGUUGAAAGUACACAAUCAGAAGGAAUCAUCAAAUUGGCAGGACUGUUUUGCUAGUUGUCAAACUACAACUAGGAAGUUCCCUAGCAAACCGAGAAGAUGCAUAGUGGAAGAUAUGUAAUGCAGGUCUCACUGGAGAAGCACCAAUGAGAAGAACAUCAUUUUCUGAAAAUCAAUUCCAUACGACCAAACCGGAAUCAUAAUUAGUUGAGAUGACAUCAGGAGUAGAGUUUCAAGCUUCCAGUUCAGAACCUUCAACUCUCCAUUGUUUUAGUAUAUGGCAAUAAUUCCUUAGCCUCUUUCUGCAUAUCAAGUCAUCAACAUUACCUAACUACAAGUCAGGAGGCCACUACUGUUAAACCAACUAAAGUGCGAGAGCCGCAAACUAGGUGGGAUCUUCUUUAUCACCGAAGUUAAAAAUCUGUGCACACCAAAAAUUCUUUGUCUGUCAUAAGAUGAUCAUAAAGAAUUCACCAGGAAAAUAGUUAAAUAAACAAACCAAGUGUGGACAAGAAUAUGUAGAACAGUAGACCGACAAAUCUUUUACUGCAGUCAGAGCUCAUGUACAUGUAUUAGGUGAUAAAUUUGCAAGCUAAAGAUACUAGAGAUAAAAUUAUACUCCCUCUGUUCCAAAAUAGAUGACCCAACUUUGUACUAACUUUAGUACAAAGUUGGGUCAUCUAUUUUGGAACGGAGGGAGUAGAUACAAGCAACCUAAUAUUAAAACCCAACUUCUGGAAACAGUAUGACAACCAAGUAAUAAUACAGCCAAAUCAAAAAUUGAUAAUCUGCUAUAGAAACUUUGAGUAUGAACUGAUGUUUGAGACUAAUAAAGGAACUUCCUAGGACAUCAUUAAUAUUAAACUUCCUAGAACCAUUGUUUUACUUCUAGUAUUUUGUUGAUUCGGAGCAAAACAUGCGAUCCGUCCAAACCACAUGCAAGUUGAAGCAGAAACCAAGUAAGAUCCUUCAGGAUGGUUGAAAAAAAUCAGAUGUGCACACUACUAACUCCAAACUACCACUGAAUGCAAGUUCAAACUGAAAGCUGUCACUCAGAGAGAAGUUUGACAAGAUCGAAUCAUGAAGAAUCUCCUAGAGUUCUGCACCAUUCAAAUGCUGGAGAACAACCAAAAAUCCAAAUAAUACUCAGAACAGAGACCAAACUGUUCACAUGGAGAAAUCAAAUAGGAGGAGAAUAUAUCCGAACAGUCCAGUCACGCCUCAUGACACUUAUGAAUCCUCAACCAUGCAGGCAUGACCAACAAUUCUUAUCUCAAACUUAAGAUAUCAUCCGAAGAGCUAAAGAACAACCAUGAAUCACUCUCUACCCUUCAAUACGAUCUCCAACAAAGGUGCAUACAUAAACGAGAUAAAAUUCACCUUGUAUUACGUGAUAGACAGAAUCGUUGAUUAGCCAUUGGAGAUUGGAGGAGGAACAAAGCUAAUUAUUGCAUUGAGAGCAGACCAGACACUGAGAUGACUCUACAGGGAACACACAACAAUUCCAACAUAUACUGCAAAGAACAAGCCCACCAGGCCAACAGAAUCACAUGGAUGGGGAGUACAGAUAUAACAAAGUAAACCACAGAGAGGAUCAGAAACCAAAAAGGUGACAUAUUUUGAAUCGCUACCAGCAUGGCUUGAUCUGCAACCACAGGAAGGCAGGAGGAAAAACCACAAUCAAUCCUACAAGCAAAAGGCAACCAAGACAACAGAAGUUUCUUCAGGAGAUAACUCAGCAUAAGAUAAUUUUUUGGUUGUUGAGAGCACUGAAUUUUUUCGGUUGUAGGAUGUCCAAUCUAGACUGAAGCCCCGGAGCAACCUUCGAAUCUUAUACAUCCACCAAAUCAAUCUGAAUGUUCAUGAAUUGGAAAGUUGUAGGGUUUAGAAGAUCUUCAAACAGAUAACUCCACAUCAGGUUGGACCUAAAUAGUCAAUUAGGACCUGCAACGACCAAGAGACCUUCCCAUGAAUUUUCACUGUGGGGAGACAAAGCUACUUGAAACAGCUAAAUAAUGCAUUAUAACCAUGUCAAUAUCAGUUAGGCAACAACACCAGUUCCAGAUAGCAAACUAAAUUCUCUCAUCCAUGUCAAUAUCUGCAAGGACACGUUACCAAGGGCAGAGAAAACCAUAGGAGUACAAUGUUCAAAGCAAAUCAGGAAAGAUUGAAGUCAACAGAAGAAACCGUCUAUAACAUGGUGAAACAAAACAGGGCACCUUCCAGAAAGUCCCCAUAAGUCCAAUAGCUGGAGAACAAUCCAUAUCAGAGAUGUUGUAAGCUAAAUUUGACUGUGCAAAACAAAGACACUAAAUCGAGGAGGAUCGAUUAUAAACACUGUUCGAAAAUUUUCUGAUCCCCAUCCCAUGGUUAACUAUCCAAUCCACAGCUUCAAUCCAAAACGAAAACUUCAGCACACAAGAUCCUAGCUUAUAACCAUCCAUUGAGCCAAUCAAAAUAACCACGGACAGUAAAGCAAACCUCGAUCCUUUGAUUCAUCACUCCACAACAUCCUGUAUCUCAAGGAGCACAAACACAUACCACAAGCAAGAUCAGCUGUUACAACGAGAACCAACGAGAAUCCACCUCAUAUCUAGGGACAACGAUACUGAUGAGCCAUUAGACGAAGACAAAUCGAAGAACUUAAGGUAGCCACUCAAAUCUUUCGUCGCCGAGCACAGAUGAGGGAUCCAGUAAACCAAUGUGACCAAACAUGGGAAACUGACCUGCCUCAAAACCCCUUCACCAUACUGUUAUACACCAUAGGGAGCUACAUGUCCAGACCAGAUUCAGAUCCAGAUCCAGAUCCAGUCCUGCAAGCCAACUCAUGGAGGCAGCGAUAGCAAAUGAAACAGACCAUCUACAAGACACUGAACUGACUCCAUGUACAAAGCAAAGGUUUGGGUACAAACUCCUAACUAUUAUAUCCUGCAACCCGCACUUGCAGAAGACCAAUAGAACACAAGGAUCAAGAGUUAAGAUAACAAAUCGAACAACGGAGCGCUAGAUCGCAAACCAAAAUAUUUAACAGAUUCCGCGUCAUUACCCACAUGGCCUGGGCUAAAGAAAAAUCUGCAAGCACAGGAAGGGCAGGAGCAAAAACCUAUAUCAAAGACAUGGCCAAGUAGCUAAAUGAAAUUAAAAAAAAGGGAUGGCAAGAGUCUUUUUCGGUUGUAGGAUGUGCCAUUAGUCGAAAGCUUCGGAUUAUCCUUAGAUUCAUGCACCUCUGCAUAUGAAUCUGUAUUACAAAAUAUUGCCUAGUAAAAUAAUGUGUAGGUCAUGUAAGUAACAAUGAAUUGAAACAAUACUAGAUUUAGAAGAUCUGCAAACAGAUUCAUCAUCAGGUUGGGCUUGAGUUCGUCAACUACAACCUGUAACGAGCAAGAGACCUUUCUAUAAAUUUUCAGUUAGGGGAAAAUGUUACUUAUAAAUAGCUAAAGUAUGGAUCAAAUGAUGGGUGGGAACAAGUAAGCCUGUUUCAGAUAGGAAGUUCAGCUAUGGUUGACGGACGAUAACAACACCAGUUCCAAACUGCAGGAUAUCCUUUCCAAGUCAAUAUCUGCAAGAGCUGAGAAUUACCCACUAAUGCAGAGAAAACCUAAUGCCAUGAGAUUUAAGUAAGGAAGGUUGAAAAAGUUUUGAGCCACAGAAGGAACCGCCAUGUUGAGGAAAAAUAGGACCGCCUUCUAAGCCAUAUUAUUCCAAUUUCUGUAAGCCACGAAGAAGUAGUUUAAAUCAGAAUUUUGGGGCACCAAAACAAAACGGUGGAGAGACUAAAACAAAGGGAGAUAACUUUAAAGGUUAUCUAACUUAUGAUGAGUUAAAAAAAUGGUAGAUUUAGAAGAACUGCAGCCCAGCACCAGAUUGGACUUGAAUUCAUCAACUAUGACCUGCACCGAGGAAGAUACCUUUCUACAAGUUAGGAAAAACUCGGCUCAGCUAAAGCAUGCAUCAAACAAUGAGGAUGUAAAGAUUAACUAAGCAUGUCUCGGUUGGGGGUAGGGAUGACGGGUUACCACACCGGUUCCAAACUGCAAUUAUCGAAGCCAGUAUCUGCAAGAACUGAGAAUUACCGACUAAGAGCAGAGAAAAUACAAAUGUCUGGAGAGUUCAAUUAUAUUGAAUAAGAAAGGUCAGGAAAGUCGACGAACAGAAAAAGAACCGCCAUGCCGAGGCAAAAUAGGACCACCCGCUAGCGAAAAAACGUUGCAGAUCUGCAGGCAGCACGGAAUCUACCCCACCCAACUAGCAUUGGGAUAUGUGUUGUCAGUCGUAUUGCAAUUUCCAGCAAUCCGUAUAUCACCGUAUUCCACUGUUCGCCAACAGUUGAAGGGGCAGGUACAAGUUAUUAGAUGGGCCAUCACUCCUUUUCGCAGGUCGCCACUGUUGAGAAAAUUGAUGAUGGUUUGACUUGUCAGGGUGGGAGGGCGCCGGAGAAUUACUGCAUGAUCCAGCAGAUUAGCACAAUAAUGAUAGCCCACGUUGAAUAUAGUUUUGUUCAAUAUGAGAGAUUAGCAAUGUGAAAAUGGAGGAACAGUAAGACGCGGAUUUUUGUUUGCUUGUUAGUAUAGUAAAUAUAUGAUUUUGGUAUGUAUUAAAAAGUUGUAGGGCUGAAACAGUUAACAAAAAAUAAUUUAAGGUCCUUAACCAUAACUUAACACUAAUCGUGGGAUUUUAAUCAUAACGAAAAGAGGCAAGCAGACUGCACAGGUUAAAACGAGCAGGUGGAGUAAGCCCGUGGCUGUUACAUUCUAACAGAUAGCGACGUGUGCGACGUCAGGCAGAUUAGAAUAUUGAUACUACUUUGAUGCAGUAGCCAAUUGCACACUAGUUUGAGGAUUAGUUUGUAGAAACAGAGAAAUCCACGAUGAACAUGUGUUAUUAGCACCCGAAUGCACAACAUUUUUUAAAGAAAAGAGACACAUUUAGCUAAAUAUUUGAUCAAAAAAUAGUAGAUAAUUGCACAAUAAUUUGAGAAUAAAUUUUAUGGAAAUAGAGAAAUUAGCGAUGAACAUGUGUUAUUAGCACCCGAACGGCGGCAUAACAUUUUUUAGAGAAAUUUCAAGGUGGUCCAAAGCAAUAUAGACCGUUAAAUUUUAAUUAUCUAAUGGCUGAUAUAACUAUUACCCCCUCCGAUUUUAUUUACUCCGUAUAUUAAAUUUGUCUAACGCCAAACCUUAUAAACGUUCAACAAGUUUGUACAAAAAUAUAAUAACAUGUACACCACCGAAUUAACACCAUUGUAUUCAUAAUUGAAUAUAUUCUCACAUCAUGUAGAUUUGUUACUGUAAAUGUUCUUAUUAUUUAGACAACAAAGGGCAACCUGGUGCAUGUAGCUCCCGCUUGCGCAGGGUCCAGGGAAGGGUCCGACCACUUUGGGUCUAUAGUACGCAGCCUUUCCCUACAUUUCUGUAAGAGGCAGUUUUGACUCUUAUUAUUUAGACAGCAGUCAAAACUAAUAUGCAGAGUACAUAAAAAUGGGGGGAGUACCUCUUAGCAGGUAAUAUGAGGUAAUAUACCAUUAAUGACGGCGUGGGGUUUAGUAUGGGCAUUGUUGCGGUAUAGUUAAGAAAGGAAAUCAUUAUAAUUUAUUCCUUUCCAUUUAAACUGGGAGUAUAUAAGAAAAUAAAAUAAAUAGAGCUAAUUAAUUCCAUAUUUUGUUUCCAACUUUGUUUUGCUUAACGUACCUUAUCAUCAUGUCUAACAAAUGAAAUAAGAAGUUUGUCAUGUCCUGUCAUAUAUAUCUAUGCUUGUAUUAUGUUGUCGGUUGGGAAAUUAAAAAGAAAAUGCACUGCAUUUGUUUUUAGAAAACACCAUAAAUGAAUACUGCUUGAUCAAACCAUAGCAAAAAAACAGUCAAAAUACCAUCAGAAUUUUUCUGUAACAAAGCAACCAUGUGUACCAGUGUUAUUGCACAUCUUUUUUGAGGGGUAACACAUUUUUUGUUAGAGCAGAUAAUGUAUAAUGGAGAACAUUUUGAAUAUUUCUUACACAGGAAUGAGUCACACGGUCCUAGCAUGUGUGUACAUUUAUUUUUCUUUAUUGGCUCUCUCAGAAUGAUGCGAAUAUACAUACUGAAAUGUCUUUUGUAGUGUGUAUCACAUGGAUAUUUAUCAUAUUAUACAACAUGAUAAUUACUCAUCUUCAUAUGGUAGAUACAACACAUAUGUACGGGGGUCAAAUGUGAACUAUUAUUAUAUUAAAAGGAGAUGUGGGAAAUGUUUUAAACAUUAGUUUUGUCAAGUAAUUGCCAUAUUGCAAUUUGUGUGGUCAAAUAUAUCCUUGAUGAAUGAACAAAGCAAAUAUUUCUCUUGCCUCUUAAGAGGUAACAGGGACCAUCUUAAGAGAGCUCUUUAAAAAAAAUUAAGAAGAAGCACACAGUUAGUUAAUUGUCUGCUAAAAAACAAUAACUAAUUGCACACUAAUUUGAAGAUUAGUUUAUAAAAAAAAGAGAAAUGCUCGGAUGGUACAUAUACAAAAAAUAGCUGAAUAGAAAAUAAAUACUUUUUGUUGGGCCAGUGCAACAAUAAUUCUGCUGCAACUCUGCAGACAGGGCAGGCUUAUCCUGUGCUAUUUCAAAAACCCGCGUUCGUUUAACCCGUGCGAGCAGGGCCUGACAAUGUGCCACUUCCAUACGGCUGCACUAUGCAUGCAUGUGUGUAUUAGCCCGUAUACCUCGGAAACGCCUGACAAGAAGGAAUCGCGAAGUCCUUUCCCACGAAGGGGAUACCGAGCUACCUGACACUCGGCCUCUGCAACGCCUCUCUCCACCCGCUAGGCCCUGUAAUUCCAAUUUCUGGACAACCAUCAACAGAUCACAAUCAGAAUUGUUGGGAGACUAAUUGAACUCUGGAGAAGAAAAAAUUAAACUAAGAAGGUAAUAAUCAUCCAACGCAGAUCACCAAGAUGAUAGGUGCUCCCUCUAAGCCGUAUAACCCUAAAUUCUGAAGAACCAACAAAUGCAAAUCAGAAUUGUCGUAGACAGAAGGUGAGCUGUGGAGAGAAAUGAAUGAAAUGGAGGAAGUAAUGAUUCAUCCAAAGCAAAUCAGAAAGAAGACGACAAGUCACCCCCGAUGCUAAGCCAAAUCCAAAUUUCUGGAGAUCCACAAAUAAUAAUCCAAAUCAGAACCUCUGGAGAGUAAAUUAUUGUACUUUGAAAAUGAAUAAGUUAAAAGUCAGAGGAAUCGAGAAUUUGAUCAUCCAAACACGGAUCACAAGUUCUAGGUUGAUGAGCGAUCCAAAACUUCAGUUGAACAUCAAAACAUUGUCCUCCGGGAAGAUCUGACCAUUUGUUCAUCUAAAGGAAACCAAACCUCCACCCUUUGACUCAUCUCUGCACACUCUUGCUUCUGCUGCAUCUAAAGGAGCACAAACACACACCAAAAGCGAGAUGAGCUGCUACAAUAAGAAUCCUCCAGGACCUUGGAUCCACCUCAUAUUAGCUGAUGAUGUUGGAACUCGUGAUGAGAACCAGAAGACCACACGAGCGAUAACCAUUCAAAUCUGACCUGCCUCAAAUCUCUUAGACAUAAAACACCCCAAGGAUCUCCACAUACCAGAUCCAGUCCUGCAACCAACCCAUGGAAGCCAACACAAAUGAACCAACAGUACUACACCGUGACACGUAUACAAAGCACAAGUUUGCAUGUAGAACCAAACUUCCUAUAAAUAUAUCAGAUAGCAAUGGGCAGGAAGACCAACGCAGGGAUCCAGACAAAGAGAUAGAUGGCAAACCAGACGAUUUUUACAGGUUCAGACUCACUACCAGCAUUGUUUUGGGCCAAAACAAAUCUGCAACGACAUGGAAGGCAGAAGCAAAAAACCAAAAUCAAAGAUAUGAACAUGUAGCUGAAUUAAAUAAAAAUAAGAGGAUAAGAGGUUAAGUUUUUUCCGGUUGUACGAUGUGCCACUUGUUCGAAGCUUCAUUCUUGCACCUUUGCAGCUAAAUCUGAAUUCGAAAUAUUGCCUAGUAAGAAAUCUUCGUAUUAUAUUUUCUAAGUUAAGGAGAAGAUAGAUUUAGAAGAACUGCAAACUCAGCAUCAGGUUGGUGGCCUUGAGUUCCUGAAGGAGCAAGAUACCUUUCGAUAAAUAAAUGUUUCAGUUAGGAAGAAAACUAGAUUAAACGAUGAGUUGAAGAUAAAAUAAAGUAAGCCUGUCUCGACUGGGAAGGUCAGGUAGACAACACAGUUCCGAUUAUAUCUCUUGCAAGACACUAUCUGAAUGACUAAGGCAGGGGAAACUACUGUCAGAUGAGUUAUUAUAAUCAACAAGAAAGGUUCAGAAAGUUGAACCCCAUAAGAAGGAAGAAACGCCAUGCCGAGCCAAAAUAGUACCGCCCGCUCUGGAGAGCCAGCAACAAAUGACAAUCAGAGUUGUUGGGAGACUAAUUGAAUUGUGGAGAAGAACAAAUUAAACAGAGAGUGACCAUCCAAACACGCCCAGGUCAGCAAGAAGAUGAGUGGCUCCCAUCAGGCCCUGUCAUCCCACUUUCUGGACAACUAGCAAAAUGUCCAAAUCAGAAUUGUACAUAGGAGGGAUUGAGAUAUUCCAGCCUAGUUGGUAAGAGAUUGAAAGCUUGAUCAUCCGAGAAGAUCUAACCAUAUCAGAAUAACCGUUGGACUGUAACCAAUCAAUCAAAACAACCAUGAAUAGAAAUCAAACCUCCACCCCCUUCAUCUAUUAUCAUCUCUUCGGAACUAGCGCUCGCCCUCUUGGUUCUGCAUCUAGGAUGAGAGCACAUGCAUGCACCAAAAGCAAGCUAGAUCAGCCGGUACAGCAAGAAUCCACGAGGGCCUCGAAUCCACCUCGUGUUAAAUUCAAUCAAUCAAUUCAAAUCUCAAAAUCACCGACGGAGGCAGGCAGGUGGCGGAACCAGGAACCGAUCUGACCGAGCACGAGAAACUGGAAUCCACCAUCGAUCGUUAAACCAAACGAAUCGAGAUUUGAUGGACAAGGGGACGGAAACAGUCGCGGAGACGCGAGCAGGCGAUCGAGGGCGGAGGCGCGGCAGGAACGAAAGCUCCAAAGAGAGAGAGGGAGGAGGCCGGAGCGCGGGGUGGAGGGGGCGCGCCUGGGCGCCUUUUGUAGGCGGUUGGGGAGGGGGAGCCGGCCUCGGCCAGGCACCAACCGGCUCCUAGCCGGAUACGGCUUCGCCGCGCUGGCGUGGCCGCGUGUUUGGCAAGGCAUGAUUAUGCUUUGCGGGGACGGACGGACGGGUGGGCGGCGAGAAUCAAAAGCGAGUGGAGGUGGCCGGUGAUCGGGCUGGAUCCGGUUUAGUUUAGGAUAUGUUGAUAAGAUCAUAAGAUAGUUUUAUUUUAAGUCUUGCAUGUAAUUUAGAAAUGAUAAAAAAAUUGCCGAUCAUUUUUUAGUCUUAUUUUUAAUAACUAGCUAUUUCUAAAAACAUGGUGAUACAUAUUGUGCUAAGAGAUCAUCUUUUGUCUUCUCUUAAAUAAGAGAAAACAAGUCUUUUUUUUAUGAGUUCUCUCUUCUCCAUCUCAUUAUUUAUUUUACGUGACACUUCUAAAAUAGCAUCAUUGUACAUGUCCUUAGCGCAGAUUCACUGAAAUCCCAAAGGGAAGUGUUUGUGUACGGUGCGCCGGCCGAAACUUCGGCCGGUCCCGCACGAGCCACGCGAUCGAGAUGUAUCGCACGCCUCGCGUACCUCCGUGCCCCACUUUUUUUUCUUUUUUCCCUGUCUGCUUCCCUAUCCCUUUCUAUCUCUCCCAGCCGCAUCGACGCAUGGGGAUGGCCAUGCUUCUUGUCUUCCUGCUUCAGAUCCCGCCGCCGACUAAUCCCAAUCCGACGCAGGUCCAUACCUCCACCCCCCUCGGCGCCCACACCCACUUCUUGCGCUGCCCCCCGGCUACAGGUUCCUUCCGCCCCGGCGAGCCGACAUUGGAAGCCGCGAUGGAUAUGCCAUCGGCGAGUUGCUGCUCGUAGUUUUCCUGUGCUGGAACCGUCCACCAGAUAUGCUACAACCACGGCAGCGCAAUCUCCUCCCCCGCUGCUGCAACCAUCUUCUCCCAAACGAACAUUGAAAGCAUUUUUGCUCCUCCACUGAUGUUGGAACCGACGACCAAAAAAGCUACAACCGUUCGAUUUGAAAGCUUCGACCAGUGGUAUAUAAAAGCUUCAACUAGACACCAUGCACUGACAAAAAGCUACAAGCGUUCAUACAGAAGCUUCAACCAUAGCUUGAAAAAGCUUCAAUGGCCCACCACACAACUGAAAAAAGCUUCAAUAGUUCAUGUGAAAGCUUCAAACCGUAUUUGAAAAAGCUUCAAACGGGGCAAUAGAGAAGUUUCAUCCGACCACUAUGAAAUAAAAAAGAAUCUACAACCAUCAAAUUUGAAAAAGCUUCAACCGUUGAAUUGAAAAGCUUCAACCAAUUUUAUAGAAAGCUUCAACCAGCUUUAUAGAAAGCUUCAACCCGCGAUUACACAACGAAAAAGUUGCAAUCGUCUCAGAGUUUUGCUACUACAGGAGAUGUCAUUUGCUACUAUCAGAGUUUUUUCUGUACCGGCGAUUUUUUGCUACAACCAUAGCUUCAUUUUGCUGGAACCAGGUUUUCAAAAUGAUUCAACAGGGUGCUGCGACACAGAGCUGUUUCUUUGACAACUUUUUUUGUUGCGAGUGUCGACGGCGAGCAUCGGCAGCGAGCACGGCACAGCGGCGAGCAUGACGCGGAGCUGCAACCACGACGACAUAUGUCAGGGCUGGCUACUGUCAGUACCAAAAAAGCUGCAACAGUUGUCGCUUGUGCUACUGCCGGCAUCGUUGUUUGCUACAUACUUCACGGCUUAGCUGCGACGUGCAACGACGGCGGCGAUCAACAAGCUAUAUGUUUUUGCUGGAACGAAGACUAUGUGUGCUACAACCGGCUUUGGCAGAGCUACCAUGGGUGAAUUUUUUUGCUACAACCAUGUACGGGUUAGGUGUGACCUCGGUAGGGAGCUGCAACAGUUGAUGUUUUUUGCUCCUACCGACAUCAUUGUUUGCUACAUGCUUCACGACUUAGCUGUGACAUUCGACGAUGGCGGCGACGUUUUUGCUACAACCGCCGCUGGAUUUUGCUUCAUCCGUUCGUGGAUUAGCUGCAACCUGCGACGGCCACGACGGCGAUUCGCUGCAACUGUGCUUCUGUUUUGCUACCACCGGCAAAUAUUUUUGCUACAUCCAUGCAUAUUUUUGCUACGACGGCGCUUCAAACACGGUGAUGAGCAAAUCUUCUUGCUGGAGACGACAAAGGCCGGUUCCAGCAAAAUGUGAGUACGGUUCCAGCAAAUCUUCUUGUUGGUUCCAACAUUCCUCGACCAUUUUUUUGCUGGAGAGAACAGGAGGCCAUGUUUUUGCUGGAACUGGUGAUAUGGUCGCCACCGGAGCACGGUCGUCGUGCACUGGAGUUGCGAGUGUCGCCAUCGAAGCUGCAAGCCUGCAACCACGGGCACACGCUGAUGCAUCCACAGAGGCGAGAAAACGCAUGAGGUGAUCGACCCCGGUGAGGGCGGUGGUCGGCGGCGAUGAGCAGGAUGCCGGUGAGGGCGGCGGCGACGAGCAGGACGCCAGUGAGGGCGGGCGGCAGGCGGCGCAGUGCUGCGACCAGAGGCGGCGGCGUGCAAUCGAGGACAUGCACGAGAUGCGGGACCAGCGAGAGGAAGGAGAAGCUUGGGGCAAACCGUUUUUUUGCCCAAUCCAAUGGCCCACCUGGAUCGCAUCCGACGGAUCACGCUCGACCGGCCGAAACCGUUGGGCCGGUGCGCCGACGCGUAUUAGUGGCCAAUCCCAAACGGUAGAAAACCAGUUUCGGGGAGUCGGGUUUUUUUUUUUUGCGGGAUGAGUUUAACGAGUUACAAAUUCAUCAGGCAGAACAUAUAUGCAAAAUGGUACUGAAUAAUUCGAAAAAUCAUCCCACCCGAGAAUUUGAUCAGUGACAUAAAAGAACGCUUCACAAACGAACAACAAACAAAUACUUCUACUUUUGACCCCCUAUUCUUCUCCUAUUUUUAAACUUAAUUCACAUGGCGAGUGGGAAUAUUUUCAAGUUUCUGGUCUUUUUGAGAAUCAAAACCUCUAUUGGGUUUUCGCUACCAGGAGAAGGGAAUGGCCAUGUUUGAUGGGGGCUGAUUUCUAUUUCUAAAUAUACAAACAAGUAGUGCUUGAUGGCGCGCCCAUGCGAGAUCAUGCUCAGUCCUGAGAACCCCUCUGCAUUGUUCGCCACCGCGUGCUCACCAGCAUCCAUCGACGGUGGCGCGGCACCUACGAGACAAGAUGAUCGAAGCCAGCCACCUUUGUUCUGGUGGAGUUCGCCCUGGGGCCUUUGAAAUCCCAGAGCCGGCCCUGGAACCAGGGCUGAUUCCUAUUUCUAAAUAUACAAACAGGUAGUGCUUGACGGCACACCCACCCGAGCUCGUGCUCAGCCCUGAGAACCCCUCUGCAUUGUUCGCCACCGCAUGCUCAGCGGCAGAGUCCAUCAACGGUGGCGCGGCACCUAUGGGCAAGAUGACCGAAUCCAGCCCAAGUCUGUUCAGCCAAUUGGUGGAUUCCUAUUUCUAAAUAUACAAACAGAUAGUGCUUGACUGCGCGCCGACGCGAGCUCGUGCUCAGCCCUGAGAACCCCUCUGCAUUGUUCGCCACCGCGUGCUUAGCGGCAGAGAACAUCGACGGUGGUGGGGCAAGAUGGCCAAAUCCAAUCAACUCUGUUCAACCAAUUGGUGGAGUUNNNNNNNNNNUGUGCGCCGACGCGAGCUCGUGCUCAGCCCUGAGAACCCCUCUGCAUUGUUCGCCACCGCGUGCUUAGCGGCAGAGAACAUCGACGGUGGUGGGGCAAGAUGGCCAAAUCCAAUCAACUCUGUUCAACCAAUUGGUGGAGUUCGCCCUAGGGCCUUUGAAAUCCCAGAGCCGGCCCUGGAACCAGGGCUGAUUCCUAUUUCUAAAUAUACAAACAGGUAGUGCUUGACGGCACACCCACCCGAGCUCGUGCUCAGCCCUGAGAACCCCUCUGCAUUGUUCGCCACCGCAUGCUCAGCGGCAGAGUCCAUCAACGGUGGCGCGGCACCUAUGGGGCAAGAUGACCGAAUCCAGCCCAAGUCUGUUCAGCCAAUUGGUGGAUUCCUAUUUCUAAAUAUACAAACAGAUAGUGCUUGACUGCGCGCCGACGCGAGCUCGUGCUCAGCCCUGAGAACCCCUCUGCAUUGUUCGCCACCGCGUGCUUAGCGGCAGAGAACAUCGACGGUGGUGGGGCAAGAUGGCCAAAUCCAAUCAACUCUGUUCAACCAAUUGGUGGAGUUCGUCCUAGGGCCUUUGAAAUCCCAGAGCCGGCCCUGAAACCAGGGCUGAUUCCUAUUUCUAAAUAUACAAACAGGUAGUGCUUGACGGCACACCCACCCGAGCUCGUGCUCAGCCCUGAGAACCCCUCUGCAUUGUUCGCCACCGCAUGCUCAGCGGCAGAGUCCAUCAACGGUGGCGCGGCACCUAUGGGGCAAGAUGACCGAAUCCAGCCCAAGUCUGUUCAGCCAAUUGGUGGAUUCCUAUUUCUAAAUAUACAAACAGAUAGUGCUUGACUGCGCGCCGACGCGAGCUCGUGCUCAGCCCUGAGAACCCCUCUGCAUUGUUCGCCACCGCGUGCUUAGCGGCAGAGAACAUCGACGGUGGUGGGGCAAGAUGGCCAAAUCCAAUCAACUCUGUUCAACCAAUUGGUGGAGUUUGUCCUAGGGCCUUUGAAAUCCCAGAGCCGGCCCUGAAACCAGGGCUGAUUCCUAUUUCUAAAUAUACAAACAGGUAGUGCUUGACGGCACACCCACCCGAGCUCGUGCUCAGCCCUGAGAACCCCUCUGCAUUGUUCGCCACCGCGUGCUUAGCGGCAGAGAACAUCGACGGUGGCGCGGCACCUAUGGGGCAAGAUGACCGAAUCCAGCCCAAGUCUGUUCAGCCAAUUGGUGGAUUCCUAUUUCUAAAUAUACAAACAGAUAGUGCUUGACUGUGCGCCGACGCGAGCUCGUGCUCAGCCCUGAGAACCCCUCUGCAUUGUUCGCCACCGCGUGCUUAGCGGCAGAGAACAUCGACGGUGGUGGGGCAAGAUGGCCAAAUCCAAUCAACUCUGUUCAACCAAUUGGUGGAGUUCGCCCUAGGGCCUUUGAAAUCCCAGAGCCGGCCCUGGAACCAGGGCUGAUUCCUAUUUCUAAAUAUACAAACAGGUAGUGCUUGACGGCACACCCACCCGAGCUCGUGCUCAGCCCUGAGAACCCCUCUGCAUUGUUCGCCACCGCAUGCUCAGCGGCAGAGUCCAUCAACGGUGGCGCGGCACCUAUGGGGCAAGAUGACCGAAUCCAGCCCAAGUCUGUUCAGCCAAUUGGUGGAUUCCUAUUUCUAAAUAUACAAACAGAUAGUGCUUGACUGCGCGCCGACGCGAGCUCGUGCUCAGCCCUGAGAACCCCUCUGCAUUGUUCGCCACCGCGUGCUUAGCGACAGAGAACAUCGACGGUGGUGGGGCAAGAUGGCCAAAUCCAAUCAACUCUGUUCAACCAAUUGGUGGAGUUCGCCCUAGGGCCUUUGAAAUCCCAGAGCCGGCCCUGGAACCAGGACUGAUUCCUAUUUCUAAAUAUACAAACAAGUAGUGCUUGACGGCACGUCCACGCCAGCUGGGCUCAGCCCUGAGAAUUGUUCGCCACCACGUGCUCAGCAGCAGAGUCCAUCGACGGUGGCGCGGCACCUGUGGGGCAAGAUGAUACGUCUUGUCCGCCGACCUCCACGUGCGUGCCCUUCCGGCCUCUACGUUGUGGCCGGAGCGCGCGCUUGGUCGGAGGACCAACUUGGCCGCCAAUACCGCGGCUUGAUCUGCCAAAGACGGCGAGGAGGUGCGCGAAAUUUUUCACUAGCAGAGGGGAUCAAGGGCUAAUCUGCAUAAGGUCCCUGAUAAUAUUUUCCAGGCCAGCCUUUCCAUACAAAAAGGCGUAAAAAGGGGGCAAAAACCACAUAACUUAAGGUUGAGCCAACUGCUCUACUCCUGCCCAAAAACAGUUAAAAGCGAGGCUGAUAAGGAUUCAAGAUGCAAAACAACAUAGUAUGACGGAUGAAAAGAUACAGCUGCAAAUAACCAGCAGGUAACGAAUAUCAGUGCAUCCCAAUAAUAAUUUUAAGUACAUAGUUUGACCGUGUCUUGCAUACCAGAGCAAAACAUAACAGUAUACGAAGGAAAACACGGGUAAGUGAAGGGCACAACAACGAGAAUUUAGCUAUAUAAGUCGUCAUCUUCAGCUGCUGCGGCAGCGGAUGCAAAAGGGUCGGCGGCAGCAGAAGAGGCGGCGCCCGCGGCCGGCUGAUCAGGGAACCGGAACUCGCUGCCGAAACCACGAGACUGCUGCAGAGUCUGGGCAAAGGCCUGGUACUUGCGGAUGUCGGCAUCGCUCACACUCCUGCGUGCAUACUUCAUCGACUCCUCGAAGUGAGCAGCCCUGAUCUCAGCGACCUCAUCCACCUCAUCCUCCUCCAUGGCUUCAGGGUUGUCCUUCCUCCUCCUCUCCCUCUCGAUGUCCUGGAAGGAUGAGUUUCAUUAGACAACGAGUAUAAAAACAGAUGGCAGAAAACUAAAUACUGCAGGUCAAUCCACAGAAAAUUGCUGGUACCUUCUCGAUGUUCUCCCUGAUGGCGUAUUUGCAAGCACGCUGGCAAAUUUCCGUGAUAUCAGCACCGCUGAACCCUUGGGUGUACUUGGCCAGAGCACUCAGAUCAAUAUCCUUGGCCAGAGGAGACUUCCUGAGGCAAGCUUUGAAGAUCUGGUGCCUCGACUCGACAUCAGGAAGAGGGAUGUAGAUAAGCUGAUCAAGACGCCCUGGCCUAAGCAGGGCAGGGUCGAUGAUGUCUGGCCUGUUGGUAGCACCAAUGAUGAAGACAGUUUUCUUGGCGUUCAUGCCAUCCAUCUCAGUCAGCAGUUGGUUCAGCACUCUAUCAGCUGCACCUCCAGCAUCGCCGACGCUGCUUCCUCUCUGUAAUAUCAUGGUUAAGAGUUAUCAGCCAUUAAGAAAUACAACAGUGGAACAUAGUAACAAGGAGGGGGGAGAGGCUGACCUGGGUGGCAAUAGAGUCAAGCUCAUCAAAGAAGAGGACACAUGGUGCUGACCCUCUAGCCUUGUCAAAGAUCUCACGCACAUUAGCCUCGCUCUCACCAAACCACAUGGUCAGCAGCUCAGGUCCCUUGAUACUGAUGAAGUUAGCCUGGCACUCAUUUGCAAUUGCCUUGGCCAACAAGGUUUUACCACAGCCAGGAGGACCAUAGAACAGAACACCUUUGGAAGGAGACAUGCCAAACUUCUCGAAUUUCUCUGGAUGCUCCACAGGGUAUUGGACAGUCUGCAACAAUUUCAUAUAUAUGUUAUACACAAGUUACAGCUAGAACAGAGCAAAUUUAAGAACAUUUGAUAAACUAAGGAGCAGUAAUAUACCUCCUGCAAUUCCCGCUUGACAUUCUCCAGACCACCAAUAUCUUCCCAAGAGACAUUGGGAACUUCAACAACCUGAUUUACAAAAGAUAAAUAUAAGGUAAGACCUUCAAAACAUGUUCAAACAACAAUUAUAUACAUAUAAAAUCGACAUAGGACAUAGUGCCAAGUACUCACAGUUUCACGGAGAGCAGAUGGGUUGCUUGUCGUUAGUGCAGUCUUGAAAUGGUCGUUUGUCACAGCCAUAGAAUUCAGUAUCUCAGCAUCUAUGGUCUCAUCCUCAAGAUCUAUAAUAUCCAUCUUCUCACGAAUGCACUGAAGAGCAGCCUCAGUACAAAGAGCAGCAAGAUCAGCACCAACAUACCCAUGGGUGUCCCGUGAAAUGUGUUCCAGUUCAACCUGCAAUACAAUUAGAAAGCACAAUGAUGAACAGGUUCGAUCAAACGAGAAAAUCAUGAGUUAAAAGAUCACUCACAUCUUCAGCUAACUUCAUGUUUUUGGUGUGAAUCCUGAGAACUUCAAGACGGCCAACUUCAUCAGGGACUCCAAUGUCAAUC